CGGAUUCUACCAUUUUCACUUGCUUAUACUAUUCAAGCCUUUUCCGGUACUCGCCCGGACAGUUUUUCGGUACUCGCACGGAUUCUACUAUUUCCCGAUUUUCGGCGAAUUUUUACGAUUUUUCGGUAUUCGCCCGGAUUCUACCAUUUUCAGUUAUUCAUACUGAUUCAACCCUUUUCCGGUACUCGCCCGAACAGUUUUUCCGUACUCGCACGAAUUCUACGAUUUCUCGAUUUUCGGCGGAUUUUUACGAUUUUUCGGUAUUCGCCCGGAUUCUACCAUUUUCACUUACUCAUACUAUUCAAGCCUUUUCCGGUACUGGCCCGGACAUUUUUUCGGUACUCGGACGGAUUCUACCAUUUCCCGAUUUUCGACGGAUUUUUACGAUUUUUCGGUAUUCGCCCGGAUUCUACCAUUUUCACUUACUCAUACUAUUCAAGCCUUUUCCAGUACUCGCCCGGACAUUUUUUCGGUACUCGGACGGAUUCUACCA
RNAcentral lists this long non-coding RNA (493 nucleotides) under Vitis vinifera (wine grape). RNAcentral's name for it is "long non-coding RNA (VVIN_LNC008244)". The record is from RNAcentral. Lineage: Eukaryota; Viridiplantae; Streptophyta; Magnoliopsida; Vitales; Vitaceae.